RNAcentral lists this ribosomal RNA (253 nucleotides) under uncultured bacterium. Its description in RNAcentral is "partial 16S ribosomal RNA". It matches the Rfam family "Bacterial small subunit ribosomal RNA", at positions 524 to 776 of the family's 1533-position model. The record is from RNAcentral.
UACGGAGGGUGCGAGCGUUAAUCGGAAUAACUGGGCGUAAAGCGCACGCAGGCGGGCUUUUAAGUGGGAUGUGAAGUCCCCGGGCUUAACCUGGGAAUAGCAUUUGAGACUGGGAGUCUAGAGUACUGUAGAGAGGGGUAGAAUUCCACGUGUAGCGGUGAAAUGCGUAGAGAUGUGGAGGAAUACCGAAGGCGAAGGCGGCCCCUUGGACAUGGACUGACGCUCAUGUGCGAAAGCGUGGGGAGCAAACAGG